UUGCAUUUAAUCUCAUCUCUCGAUCUUCUGAGCAAGAUACGGAUCAAAUCUUAGGAUAUUAUCUUGGAGCUCUUUGAUCGAAUUUUGAACUUCAUCUUUGACUCUCUUGUUUCAAGAUGAAAUCUUAUCAUCGGAGCAAUCCGUGGCUCAGAAAGAUUCGGCUGUCACGUCCGGGUAUUUUCUAACCUAAUAGAAGUGGAAAUUAUUUGAAGAUGUCAACCAACGGAAGUUUGGAUGGAUUCUAUUGCGGUCACGCACAUAAUGUGUUCGUAUUUCCUUCGAAGACCACAAACGCAAUUUUCAAGCAUCAGGGUCAGGGAAUGGAGCGCUUGAACAGGAAUCUUUCUUGAGUAAUGAAGAAAAUAUAAUAGGACGAGUCUGGAUUGUGAAAAAUAAGAUCUUCCAUAUAAAAUGAAAUAAAAGAUUCCUUCGUAAUACAUUCAUAAUAAAA
Aedes aegypti (yellow fever mosquito) is the source of this 451-nucleotide long non-coding RNA. RefSeq lists it as uncharacterized. The transcript has 2 exons. NCBI's taxonomy places the organism in Eukaryota, Metazoa, Arthropoda, Insecta, Diptera, Culicidae. The record is from RefSeq and is a predicted model, not a curated record.